This 447-nucleotide ribosomal RNA is filed under the name uncultured bacterium. Its description in RNAcentral is "bacterial SSU rRNA". It matches the Rfam family "Bacterial small subunit ribosomal RNA", at positions 29 to 507 of the family's 1533-position model. The record is from RNAcentral.
AGCGAACGCUAGCGGCGAGCUUGACACAUGCAAGUCGAGCGGAGGGUUUCGGCCCUCAGCGGCGGACGGGUGAGUAACACGUAGGUUACGUGCCCUUUGGUGGGGAAUAACUUAGGGAAACCUGAGCUAAUACCGCAUAUGCCCUUCGGGGUGAAAGUCUUCGGACGCCAGAGGAUCGGCCUGCGGCCCAUUAUUUAAUCCUUGUUGGUGGGGUAACGGCCUACCAAGGGUACGAUGGGUAGCUGGUCUGAGAGGAUGAUCAGCCACACUGGGACUGAGACACGGCCCAGACUCCUACGGGAGGCAGCAGUGGGGAAUAUUGGACAAUGGGGGAAACCCUGAUCCAGCUACGCCGCGUGGGUGAUGAAGGCCUUCGGGUUGUAAAGCCCUGUCGAGGGGGACGAAGUUCUGACGGUACCCCUCAAGAAAGCACCGGCUAACUCCGUG